GUAGGGCUUCGGCCCUGUCGAGAUGGAACCCUUGCCUUUUUAAGUCCCCUUCGUUUCCCCGGCAGGCUCGCCUGCCAAUGUGGACCCCCAAAAACACUCUGCAGUACCUGUAACAGUCUGAAAAACAAACAUAAAUUAAAACUUUCAACAACGGAUCUCUUGGUUCU
RNAcentral lists this unclassified non-coding RNA (167 nucleotides) under rhizosphere metagenome. RNAcentral's name for it is "partial ribosomal RNA internal transcribed spacer region". The record is from RNAcentral.